UCAUCAGUGAGGUUGAUCCUUACCUGUUCCUCCUUAUGGAGAAACAAACAUGAUGAAUGGGGGAGGCUGAGAGUGAUUAUACUGAUCCCCUGCACCGCCCUGACUGACAACUGGGGUGUGUGUCAUUCUGAU
Pseudophryne corroboree (corroboree frog) is the source of this 132-nucleotide small nucleolar RNA. RefSeq annotates it as U8 small nucleolar RNA. The record is from RefSeq and is a predicted model, not a curated record. NCBI's taxonomy places the organism in Eukaryota, Metazoa, Chordata, Amphibia, Anura, Myobatrachidae. The transcript has a single exon.